RNAcentral lists this transfer RNA (64 nucleotides) under Physella acuta. RNAcentral's name for it is "transfert RNA-M(ATG)". Lineage: Eukaryota; Metazoa; Mollusca; Gastropoda; Physidae. The record is from RNAcentral.
UUAAGCGUGAGCUAACUCAAAGCUAUUGGGCCCAUAACCCAAAAAUGGUUGUACCCCGCUUAAA